CCUACGGGGGGCUGCAGUCGAGAAUAGUCUACAAUGGUCGGAAGACUGAUAGUGCGACGCCGCGUGAACGAUGAAUCCCUUCGGGGUGUAAAGUUCUUUUAUAUGUGAGCAGUGCUUCUUAUAUUAACAGUAUGGGGAGAGAGAUAUUAGCAUAUGAAUAAGCAACGGCUAACUCCGUGCCAGCAGCCGCGGUAACACGGGGGUUGCGAGCGUUGUCCGGAAUUACUAGGCGUAAAGGGCAGGCAGGCGGAUCCAUAAGUUUAUCGUUUAAGGCGUCGGCUUAACCGGCGUAGGGCGGUAGAUACUGUGGAUCUGGAAUGCGGUUGGGGAAGACAGAAUUCCUGGUGUAGCGGUGGAAUGCGCAGAGAUCAGGAGGAAUACCGAAGGCGAAGGCAGUCUUCCAAGCCGUUAUUGACGCUCAACUGCGAAGGUGUGGGUAUCAAACAGGAUUAGAUACCCGUGUAGUC
RNAcentral lists this ribosomal RNA (467 nucleotides) under uncultured Spirochaetota bacterium. RNAcentral's name for it is "bacterial SSU rRNA". It matches the Rfam family "Bacterial small subunit ribosomal RNA", at positions 338 to 795 of the family's 1533-position model. Lineage: Bacteria; Pseudomonadati; Spirochaetota. The record is from RNAcentral.